Molecule: non-coding RNA, 102 nt
Organism: Marasmius sp. AFHP31
Lineage: Eukaryota; Fungi; Basidiomycota; Agaricomycetes; Agaricales; Marasmiaceae
Source: the annotation of a GenBank genome assembly
GGGGGUAUAGCUCAGCUGGGAGAGCAGCAGACUGAAGUUGGAGUGUUAGGUCAUGCUACGAUAUCAUUCUGAAGGUCCCGCGUUCGAUCCGCGGUACCCCCA